Molecule: ribosomal RNA, 480 nt
Filed under: uncultured bacterium
Lineage: Bacteria
Description: partial 16S ribosomal RNA
Rfam family: Bacterial small subunit ribosomal RNA
Source: RNAcentral
GAUGAACGCUAGCGGCAGGCCUAACACAUGCAAGUCGAGGGGUAGAAGGAGCUUGCUCCUUUGAGACCGGCGCACGGGUGCGUAACGCGUAUGCAAUCUACCUUGUACAGGGGAAUAGCCCAGAGAAAUUUGGAUUAAUGCCCCAUAGUAUAUAACCUUCGCAUGUUGGUUAUAUUAAAGUUCCAACGGUACAAGAUGAGCAUGCGUCCCAUUAGUUAGUUGGUAAGGUAACGGCUUACCAAGACGAUGAUGGGUAGGGGUCCUGAGAGGGAGAUCCCCCACACUGGUACUGAGACACGGACCAGACUCCUACGGGAGGCAGCAGUGAGGAAUAGUGGUCAAUGGUCGCAAGACUGAACCAGCCAUGCCGCGUGCAGGAAGACGGUCCUAUGGAUUGUAAACUGCUUUUAUACAGGAAGAAACCCUCCCACGUGUGGGAGCUUGACGGUACUGUAGGAAUAAGAAUCGGCUAACUCCGUG